UGCUGCAUCUCUACUGCUACUUGAGACCCUUCUCGACUGUAUUCUCUGGUUCUGUUUCGCCACAGGACCCUUUAAAAUCCUAAAAUCCUUUCUGGAUCGAAGAACCACUUCUGAUCGGACUCCAGAUGCUUCACGGCCGUCCGAUCAGCACCCCAGUCUCUUCAGUUGCUUGAUCGCACUCGAUCAAGCUUCAUCAGACCCAUAUCAUGCCCGCA
This 215-nucleotide long non-coding RNA is filed under the name Elaeis guineensis (African oil palm). RNAcentral describes it as "long non-coding RNA (EGUI_LNC025013)". The record is from RNAcentral. Lineage: Eukaryota; Viridiplantae; Streptophyta; Magnoliopsida; Arecales; Arecaceae.